This 2920-nucleotide ribosomal RNA is filed under the name Klebsiella pneumoniae. RNAcentral describes it as "bacterial LSU rRNA". It matches the Rfam family "Bacterial large subunit ribosomal RNA". Lineage: Bacteria; Pseudomonadati; Pseudomonadota; Gammaproteobacteria; Enterobacterales; Enterobacteriaceae. The record is from RNAcentral.
GGGUUGUGAGGUUAAGCGACUAAGCGUACACGGUGGAUGCCCUGGCAGUCAGAGGCGAUGAAGGACGUGCUAAUCUGCGAAAAGCGUCGGUAAGGUGAUAUGAACCGUUAUAACCGGCGAUGUCCGAAUGGGGAAACCCAGUGCAAUUCGUUGCACUAUCGUUAACUGAAUACAUAGGUUAACGAGGCGAACCGGGGGAACUGAAACAUCUAAGUACCCCGAGGAAAAGAAAUCAACCGAGAUUCCCCAGUAGCGGCGAGCGAACGGGGAGCAGCCCAGAGUCUGAAUCAGCUUGUGUGUUAGUGGAACGGUCUGGAAAGUCCGACGGUACAGGGUGAUAGUCCCGUACACCAAAAUGCACAGGUUGUGAACUCGAAGAGUAGGGCGGGACACGUGGUAUCCUGUCUGAAUAUGGGGGGACCAUCCUCCAAGGCUAAAUACUCCUGACUGACCGAUAGUGAACCAGUACCGUGAGGGAAAGGCGAAAAGAACCCCGGCGAGGGGAGUGAAAAAGAACCUGAAACCGUGUACGUACAAGCAGUGGGAGCACCUUCGGGUGUGACUGCGUACCUUUUGUAUAAUGGGUCAGCGACUUAUAUUCUGUAGCAAGGUUAACCGUAUAGGGGAGCCGCAGGGAAACCGAGUCUUAACUGGGCGUUAAGUUGCAGGGUAUAGACCCGAAACCCGGUGAUCUAGCCAUGGGCAGGUUGAAGGUUGGGUAACACUAACUGGAGGACCGAACCGACUAAUGUUGAAAAAUUAGCGGAUGACUUGUGGCUGGGGGUGAAAGGCCAAUCAAACCGGGAGAUAGCUGGUUCUCCCCGAAAGCUAUUUAGGUAGCGCCUCGUGAACUCAUCUUCGGGGUAGAGCACUGUUUCGGCUAGGGGGUCAUCCCGACUUACCAACCCGAUGCAAACUACGAAUACCGAAGAAUGUUAUCACGGGAGACACACGGCGGGUGCUAACGUCCGUCGUGAAGAGGGAAACAACCCAGACCGCCAGCUAAGGUCCCAAAGUCAUGGUUAAGUGGGAAACGAUGUGGGAAGGCACAGACAGCCAGGAUGUUGGCUUAGAAGCAGCCAUCAUUUAAAGAAAGCGUAAUAGCUCACUGGUCGAGUCGGCCUGCGCGGAAGAUGUAACGGGGCUAAACCAUGCACCGAAGCUGCGGCAGCGACACUAUGUGUUGUUGGGUAGGGGAGCGUUCUGUAAGCCUGCGAAGGUGUGCUGUGAGGCAUGCUGGAGGUAUCAGAAGUGCGAAUGCUGACAUAAGUAACGAUAAAGCGGGUGAAAAGCCCGCUCGCCGGAAGACCAAGGGUUCCUGUCCAACGUUAAUCGGGGCAGGGUGAGUCGACCCCUAAGGCGAGGCCGAAAGGCGUAGUCGAUGGGAAACAGGUUAAUAUUCCUGUACUUGGUGUUACUGCGAAGGGGGACGGAGAAGGCUAUGUUAGCCGGGCGACGGUUGUCCCGGUUUAAGCAUGUAGGCUGAUUGUCCAGGCAAAUCCGGAUAAUCAAGGCUGAGGUGUGAUGACGAGGCACUACGGUGCUGAAGUAACAAAUGCCCUGCUUCCAGGAAAAGCCUCUAAGCAUCAGGUAACAUUAAAUCGUACCCCAAACCGACACAGGUGGUCAGGUAGAGAAUACCAAGGCGCUUGAGAGAACUCGGGUGAAGGAACUAGGCAAAAUGGUGCCGUAACUUCGGGAGAAGGCACGCUGGUGUGUAGGUGAAGUCCCUGCGGAUGGAGCUGAGACCAGUCGAAGAUACCAGCUGGCUGCAACUGUUUAUUAAAAACACAGCACUGUGCAAACACGAAAGUGGACGUAUACGGUGUGACGCCUGCCCGGUGCCGGAAGGUUAAUUGAUGGGGUUAUCCGUAAGGAGAAGCUCUUGAUCGAAGCCCCGGUAAACGGCGGCCGUAACUAUAACGGUCCUAAGGUAGCGAAAUUCCUUGUCGGGUAAGUUCCGACCUGCACGAAUGGCGUAAUGAUGGCCAGGCUGUCUCCACCCGAGACUCAGUGAAAUUGAACUCGCUGUGAAGAUGCAGUGUACCCGCGGCAAGACGGAAAGACCCCGUGAACCUUUACUAUAGCUUGACACUGAACAUUGAGCCUUGAUGUGUAGGAUAGGUGGGAGGCUUUGAAGCGUGGACGCCAGUCUGCGUGGAGCCAACCUUGAAAUACCACCCUUUAAUGUUUGAUGUUCUAACGUUGGCCCCUGACCGGGGUUGCGGACAGUGUCUGGUGGGUAGUUUGACUGGGGCGGUCUCCUCCCAAAGCGUAACGGAGGAGCACGAAGGUUAGCUAAUCCUGGUCGGACAUCAGGAGGUUAGUGCAAUGGCAUAAGCUAGCUUGACUGCGAGCGUGACGGCGCGAGCAGGUGCGAAAGCAGGUCAUAGUGAUCCGGUGGUUCUGAAUGGAAGGGCCAUCGCUCAACGGAUAAAAGGUACUCCGGGGAUAACAGGCUGAUACCGCCCAAGAGUUCAUAUCGACGGCGGUGUUUGGCACCUCGAUGUCGGCUCAUCACAUCCUGGGGCUGAAGUAGGUCCCAAGGGUAUGGCUGUUCGCCAUUUAAAGUGGUACGCGAGCUGGGUUUAGAACGUCGUGAGACAGUUCGGUCCCUAUCUGCCGUGGGCGCUGGAGAAUUGAGGGGGGCUGCUCCUAGUACGAGAGGACCGGAGUGGACGCAUCACUGGUGUUCGGGUUGUCAUGCCAAUGGCACUGCCCGGUAGCUAAAUGCGGAAGAGAUAAGUGCUGAAAGCAUCUAAGCACGAAACUUGCCCCGAGAUGAGUUCUCCCUGAGACUUUAAGUCUCCUGAAGGAACGUUGAAGACGACGACGUUGAUAGGCCGGGUGUGUAAGCGCAGCGAUGCGUUGAGCUAACCGGUACUAAUGAACCGUGAGGCUUAACCUUACAACGCCGAAG